Eubacterium sp. CAG:786 is the source of this 101-nucleotide non-coding RNA. The record is from Rfam. NCBI's taxonomy places the organism in Bacteria, Bacillati, Bacillota, Clostridia, Eubacteriales, Eubacteriaceae.
CACAGAGUAGGAGAACGUGCGUUAAGUGCUGCGCGGACGGAGAGUUGCCGUGCGGACGAAAGCCCAUACGGGCUGCGAUACGUUCUUCGCAUCUCGCUGUA